AGCUACAGGCUUAACACAUGCAAGUCGAGGGGCUUCGCAGUGUAGCAAUACAUGGGCGGCGACCGGCGCACGGGUGCGUAACGCGUAUCCAACCUUCCCGUUACUCUUGGAUAGCCUUCCGAAAGGGAGAUUAAUACAAGAUGGUGUUUCACUUUCGCAUGUUAUUGAAACUAAAGAUUUAUCGGUAACGGAUGGGGAUGCGUGACAUUAGCUAGUUGGCGGGGUAACGGCCCACCAAGGCGACGAUGUCUAGGGGUUCUGAGAGGAAGGUCCCCCACACUGGUACUGAGACACGGACCAGACUCCUACGGGAGGCAGCAGUGAGGAAUAUUGGUCAAUGGGCGAGAGCCUGAACCAGCCAUGUCGCGUGCAGGAUUACGGCCCUAUGGGUUUUAAACUGCUUUUGUCUAGGGGUAAAAAGACCACGUGUGGUAAAUUGAAAGUACUAGACGAAUAAGCAUCGGCUAACUCCGUGCCAGCAGCCGCGGUAAUACGGAGGAUGCGAGCGUUAUCCGGAUUUAUUGGGUUUAAAGGGUGCGUAGGCGGCCUAUCAAGUCGGUGGUGAAAUUUCGUGGCUUAACCACGUCACUGCCAUCGAAACUGAUAAGCUUGAGUGCGUUGGGGGUAGCUGGAAUGUGCGGUGUAGCGGUGAAAUGCAUAGAUAUCGCACAGAACGCCGAUCGCGAAGGCAGGUUACCACGCCGCAACUGACGCUGAGGCACGAAAGCGCGGGGAUCGAACAGGAUUAGAUACCCUGGUAGUCCGCGCCGUAAACGAUGGAUGCUCGCCGUUCGCGAUAUAAAGUGAGUGGCCAAGCGAAAGCGAUAAGCAUCCCACCUGGGGAGUACGCCGGCAACGGUGAAACUCAAAGGAAUUAACGGGGGCCCGCACAAGCGGAGGAACAUGUGGUUUAAUUCGAUGAUACGCGAGGAACCUUACCCGGGCUUGAAAGUUAUCGACGGACCGUGAAAGCGGUCUUCCCUUCGGGGCGAGAAACUAGGUGCUGCAUGGUUGUCGUCAGCUCGUGCCGUGAGGUGUCGGCUUAAGUGCCAUAACGAGCGCAACCCUUGUCUCCAGUUGCCAACGAGUAAAGUCGGGGACUCUGGAGAGACUGCCACCGCAAGGUGCGAGGAAGGCGGGGAUGACGUCAAAUCAGCACGGCCCUUACGUCCGGGGCGACACACGUGUUACAAUGGGGGGUACAGAGGGUAGCGACAACGCGAGUUGAAGCCAAUCUCAGAAAGCCCUUCUCAGUUCGGAUCGGAGUCUGCAACUCGACUCCGUGAAGCUGGAUUCGCUAGUAAUCGCGCAUCAGCCAUGGCGCGGUGAAUACGUUCCCGGGCCUUG
This 1347-nucleotide ribosomal RNA is filed under the name uncultured bacterium. RNAcentral's name for it is "bacterial SSU rRNA". It matches the Rfam family "Bacterial small subunit ribosomal RNA", at positions 38 to 1383 of the family's 1533-position model. The record is from RNAcentral.